RNAcentral lists this ribosomal RNA (253 nucleotides) under uncultured bacterium. RNAcentral's name for it is "partial 16S ribosomal RNA". It matches the Rfam family "Bacterial small subunit ribosomal RNA", at positions 524 to 776 of the family's 1533-position model. The record is from RNAcentral.
GACAGAGGCCUCGAGCGUUAGGCGGAAUCACUGGGCUUAAAGCGUGUGUAGGCGGGCCCGUAAGUGUCUUGUGAAAUCCCACGGCUCAACCGGGGAACUGCUGGGCAUACUGCGGGUCUUGGGCCAACUAGGGGCAGCCGGAACAAGCGGUGGAGCGGUGAAAUGCGUAGAUAUCGCUUGGAACGCCGAAGGUGAAAACAGGCUGCUGGGGUUGCGCCGACGCUGAGACACGAAAGCCAGGGGAGCAAACGGG